Molecule: ribosomal RNA, 465 nt
Filed under: uncultured bacterium
Lineage: Bacteria
Description: partial 16S ribosomal RNA
Rfam family: Bacterial small subunit ribosomal RNA
Source: RNAcentral
GACGAACGCUGGCGGCGUGCUUAACACAUGCAAGUCGAACGGAAAGGCCCUGCUUGCAGGGUCCUCGAGUGGCGAACGGGUGAGUAACUCGUGGGUGAUCUGCCCUGCACUUCGGGAUAAGCCUGGGAAACUGGGUCUAAUACCGGAUAGGAGCCAUUUUUAGUGUGAUGGUUGGAAAGUUUUUUCGGUGUAGGAUGAGCUCGCGGCCUAUCAGCUUGUUGGUGGGGUAAUGGCCUACCAAGGCGGCGACGGGUAGCCGGCCUGAGAGGGUGGACGGCCACAUUGGGACUGAGAUACGGCCCAGACUCCUACGGGAGGCAGCAGUGGGGAAGAUUGCACAAUGGGCGCAAGCCUGAUGCAGCGACGCCGCGUGGGGGAUGACGGCCUUCGGGUUGUAAACUCCUUUCGCUAGGGACGAAGCUUUUUGUGACGGUACCUAGAUAAGAAGCACCGGCUAACUACGUG